Molecule: non-coding RNA, 227 nt
Organism: Aphanizomenon flos-aquae
Lineage: Bacteria; Bacillati; Cyanobacteriota; Cyanophyceae; Nostocales; Aphanizomenonaceae
Source: Rfam
GUCAGUAACCCAGCCCUAAAGGGACUGGGCUUGCAAGAGUAAUCAAGCAAGCCGUACUGACCAGACCACCCUGAGUUUACUCUCAUGGUAGCCGUUAUUUGAGUCACGACACCCCGGAAUGCGAAGCUAGUUCCCUGCUCUGUCGCUUGUGAUUAAACAGUUCUAAGGUCACUGGAACAGUGUUGCAAGCCUAACAAGCUCUUAUAACAGGUCGAAGCUAACAUUAC